RNAcentral lists this ribosomal RNA (449 nucleotides) under uncultured bacterium. RNAcentral describes it as "partial 16S ribosomal RNA". It matches the Rfam family "Bacterial small subunit ribosomal RNA", at positions 29 to 523 of the family's 1533-position model. The record is from RNAcentral.
AGCGAACGCUGGCGGCAGGCCUAACACAUGCAAGUCGAACGAACUCUUCGGAGUUAGUGGCGGACGGGUGAGUAACACGUGGGAACGUGCCUUUAGGUUCGGAAUAACUCAGGGAAACUUGCGCUAAUACCGAAUGUGCCCUUCGGGGGAAAGAUUUAUCGCCUUUAGAGCGGCCCGCGUCUGAUUAGCUAGUUGGUGAGGUAAAGGCUCACCAAGGCGACGAUCAGUAGCUGGCCUGAGAGGAUGAUCAGCCACAUUGGGACUGAGACACGGCCCAAACUCCUACGGGAGGCAGCAGUGGGGAAUUUUGCGCAAUGGGCGAAAGCCUGACGCGGCCAUGCCGCGUGAAUGAUGAAGGUCUUAGGAUUGUAAGAUUCUUUCACCGGGGACGAUAAUGACGGUACCCGGAGAAGAAGCCCCGGCUAACUUCGUGCCAGCCGCCGCCGUAA